GUGUCAGCCGCCGCGGUAAGACAGAGGUGCCAAGCGUUAGGCGGAAUCACUGGGCUUAAAGCGUGUGUAGGCGGAUGCCUAAGUACCUUGUGAAAUCCCACGGCUCAACCGUGGAACUGCUUGGUAUACUGGGUGUCUUGAGCCACUUAGGGGUUACCGGAACAAACGGUGGAGCGGUGAAAUGCGUAGAUAUCGUUUGGAACGCCAAUGGUGAAAACAGGUAACUGGGAGUGCGCUGACGCUGAGACACGAAAGCCAGGGGAGCGAACGGGAUUAGAUACCCCCGUAGUCC
Molecule: ribosomal RNA, 292 nt
Filed under: uncultured bacterium
Lineage: Bacteria
Description: partial 16S ribosomal RNA
Rfam family: Bacterial small subunit ribosomal RNA
Source: RNAcentral